CGGGUAGUCCCAGCUGUAACGAUGCAGACUCGGUGAUGCAUUGGCUUGUGGCCAAUGCAGUGCCGCAGGGAAGCCGUUAAGUCUGCCGCCUGGGAAGUACGUACGCAAGUAUGAAACUUAAAGGAAUUGGCGGGGGAGCACCACAAGGGGUGAAGCCUGCGGUU
RNAcentral lists this ribosomal RNA (164 nucleotides) under uncultured Nitrososphaerota archaeon. Its description in RNAcentral is "uncultured thaumarchaeote partial 16S ribosomal RNA". It matches the Rfam family "Archaeal small subunit ribosomal RNA", at positions 738 to 902 of the family's 1478-position model. The record is from RNAcentral. Lineage: Archaea; Thermoproteati; Nitrososphaerota.